AGUCGAGGGGCAGCAGGGGUAGCAAUACCCCGCUGGCGACCGGCGGACGGGUGCGUAACGCGUAUGCAACCUACCCGUAACAGGGGAAUAACGGAGGGAAACCUCCACUAAUGCCCCAUAUAGUCAGGGGACCGCAUGGUUUCGUGACGAAAGCUUCGGUGGUUACGGACGGGCAUGCGUGGCAUUAGGCGGUUGGCGGGGUAACGGCCCACCAAACCUACGAUGCCUAGGGGAGCUGAGAGGCUAAUCCCCCACACUGGUACUGAGACACGGACCAGACUCCUACGGGAGGCAGCAGUGAGGAAUAUUGGUCAAUGGACGGAAGUCUGAACCAGCCAUGCCGCGUGAAGGAAGACGGCCCUAUGGGUUGUAAACUUCUUUUAGCCGGGAGUAAUAAGGCGCACGUGCUGCGCCGAUGAAAGUACCGGCGGAAUAAGCAUCGGCUAACUCCGUGCCAGCAGCCGCGGUAAUACGGAGGAUGCAAGCGUUAUCCGGAUUUAUUGGGUUUAAAGGGUGCGUAGGCGGGCGCGUAAGUCAGCGGUGAAAUACCCCUGCUCAACAGGGGGGCUGCCGUUGAUACUGCGUGUCUAGAGUGCGAACGGCGCCGGCGGAAUGUGUCAUGUAGCGGUGAAAUGCAUAGAGAUGACACAGAACACCGAUCGCGAAGGCAGCUGGCGAGCACGACACUGACGCUGAGGCACGAAGGUGCGGGGAUCGAACAGGAUUAGAUACCCUGGUAGUCCGCACAGUAAACGAUGACGACUUGUUGUCGGCGACACACUGCCGGUGACAAAGCGAAAGCGAUAAGUCGUCCACCUGGGGAGUACGAUCGCAAGGUUGAAACUCAAAGGAAUUGACGGGGGCCCGCACAAGCGGAGGAGCAUGUGGUUUAAUUCGAUGAUACGCGAGGAACCUUACCCAGACUCAAAUGUUCGAGGACGCGGCCGGAGACAGCCGUUCCCUUCGGGGCCUCGAGCAAGGUGCUGCAUGGUUGUCGUCAGCUCGUGCCGUGAGGUGUCAGGUUAAGUCCUAUAACGAGCGCAACCCCUACGUCCAGUUGCCAGCGGUGAACCGGGGACUCUGGAGGGACUGCCGGCGCAAGCCGAGAGGAAGGUGGGGAUGACGUCAAAUCAGCACGGCCCUUACGUCUGGGGCGACACACGUGCUACAAUGGCCGGUACAGAGGGCAGCCACCUGCGACAGGGAGCGAAUCUCGAAAGCCGGUCUCAGUUCGGAUCGGAGUCUGCAACCCGACUCCGUGAAGUUGGAUUCGCUAGUAAUCGCGCAUCAGCCAUGGCGCGGUGAAUACGUUCCCGGGCCUUGUACACACCGCCCGUCAAGCCAUGAAAGUCCGUGGUACCUGAAGU
RNAcentral lists this ribosomal RNA (1367 nucleotides) under uncultured bacterium. Its description in RNAcentral is "bacterial SSU rRNA". It matches the Rfam family "Bacterial small subunit ribosomal RNA", at positions 60 to 1427 of the family's 1533-position model. The record is from RNAcentral.